Long non-coding RNA from Gasterosteus aculeatus aculeatus (three-spined stickleback), 2282 nucleotides. Lineage: Eukaryota; Metazoa; Chordata; Actinopteri; Perciformes; Gasterosteidae. The record is from Ensembl.
AUUUUUUAAAAUUAACUUUUGUUUUACAUUUUCAUUAAUGUUGCUUUAACGUGAAAACAAGUUGCAACAAGUUGCCACUUUACAGCUGCGUGUUUAAAGGAGCAGAUCUUAGGAUUGAGAGCACAUCUCGUGCCUUAACUUUAAGGCAGUGUAACAAUAAACCAGCGUGCGUCAAAGGCAUAUCACUUGUUUGUAGGCAUUAAAAGCAUUAAAUGCUUUACUCUGUGUUGCAUAACUGACUUGAACAACAUCCCCCAUUUGUAUUCUUCUCGCUCUUCUUUAUUUCCCCUCAAGUUCUCACUUUUUUCCUUUCUCCUUUCAUUUAAGGUCUCUUGUUCUCUUUUCCUCCUCCUUCCUUUCAUUCGAAUGCCCUCACAUCCCUCAUUUCUCUUUUCCAGUCUUGAUCUUUCUUAAGUGACUUUUUGUGGAUGACCUCAUUUACCCCUCGGCGUCGGUUAAAAAUCAUCAUUUCUUUUAACCUUUCCCUCUUUUUAAUCCACUCCCUCGAUCUCUCUAUUACCCCCCCCCCCCCUCCUCUCUUUCUUCAACUACAUUCCUUUUCGCUAUUCAUUACAUUUUUUGCACAAUCAUUCACUCUUCUCUCUCUCUCUUUUCUUUAACAAACUCCCUUCUCAUUUCUCCCCCUUCAAAUUAAAAUUCGGAGACUCUCUCGCUCUAUUUGUUUUGCCCUCCCUUUAUAUUCAGUGUCAGUCUCCGUAACCCCAGUCGCCAUUGCUUCUUCUUGCCUUUUAUAACCAUGGGAACAGAGGAGACCACGUUGCCAAGGCAACAGGGGGAACAUGCUGGGAUUCAAGCUGAGGCUUCCUCUCAGGCGCCUGCCGGGAAGGGAAUGUGGAAGCAGUAGCAGCAGGCGGGCGGUGGACGGCUAAGUUACAUGCAGGCACAGGCGUCCGGGGUCCUGAUGCUCACGUGGAUAAAUCAUCACUGCUGCACAGACAGAGACGGUUCUCACACUCGCUCAUGUGUCCCUGUGACUUUAGUUCUGGUUUAAUAUCCUCUCAGCCUUUUUAAUAUCUUAACCUUUGGGCUAAAUCUUUCCGUUUUACCACUGCUUUAAGCUGAAAUGAAACCAACGGAAAUAUGGACGUACAGAAAUAUAAAAUAAUUUGAGUCUAAAACAAUUACCAGACGUCUUCAUGACUCAUCUAUUUCUCAUGUGGAGGAAUUAGUCUCAAAACUGGUGACAAAUGUGUUUCAUGAUCCACAAACAAAAACCAGUUUAGCAAAGGUGUGUGAAAAUUACAAAAAAAUACCAACCGAUUUAAUCAUUUUGCAAAUAAAUACAAAACACCACAUUAACUUCCAUAUGCUACACUUCCAACUUCAAGUUCUUAACCUCAUAGGCUAUACAAUCAAUUUAAUCAAGAUAAAAGUCAGUGGAUUUGUGUUACACAAUGUAAUAACAUACGUUUGGCUUUUUAACAGAGCACAACCUGCAUUUGUGGAUCUGCAUCCAGCCAACGUUCUGACGCAACACAACUUCAUUCACAAUCACGUUUUGAGGGUAAAGCUAUUUUCUCUCAAAUUCCCGUUGCAGUGAAACAAAAUAAGUACUUGAUUAUCUUAGGCUACAUGGCUCCUGGGACACAAACACGUGUCCUGGAGUGUCUUGUGAAUAAAUGCAGAAGAGAACAAACUAGCUUGGUUGAUUUGUGACAUUGUGACAUUUCUUUUCAAAUAUUAGUAAAUUGUGUUUUUUUUACCUUACCAGUAAUGGUGGUUUAAUAGUUAACAGUUGAUUCUAGUCAGUACAUCAACAGUGAGGCCGGCAGCUGUUGGAGGUUUCAUUGACAUUCAUGCUCAGCAGGCAGGCCGCGCCGGUCCAGAGAGAAUAAACAACAGUCAGGACUGCAGCGUCGGCCUUUAUCCUCUCCAGUGAACUUAUCUGUUCACAAAGCUCCUCGUUCUGCCUGACUUUGGCGAGCUGUGGGUACGCCUGGGAUACCGGCUGGUACCAGUCGAAUCUCUACGGCAGCUCACAGAGAAAUAUGGAAGCAUCACUGCUGCAGAAAGACUGCUGAUGUGCUUUGAUCGUUUGGUGCGAAACCAGGUUGGACAAACUUGUCAAAAAGGAAAAUGGCAACGCUGUCUCCGUUUAGCCGGGCUCUGAGGCCAACAGCUAACAAUAUGUUCAUCAUGAUUGAAUCUGGUAACCUUUACGGAUGCAGGACAUCCAGUAUAUCAAAAUAAAUAACACCAAAAGUCACUUGCAAAAUCAAAGACUUCAACUUUGUUUUGUAUGUUCAUGCUUAACGCAAAGG